Molecule: long non-coding RNA, 891 nt
Filed under: Ananas comosus (pineapple)
Lineage: Eukaryota; Viridiplantae; Streptophyta; Magnoliopsida; Poales; Bromeliaceae
Description: long non-coding RNA (ACOM_LNC038688)
Source: RNAcentral
ACAGCACCCACGCCCCUAGGGCUCUUCUUUGAGCUUGCCACUGCAGGGAACAAGGUAAGGAGAGCUUCUCUUUGCUUCUCUUUGGUUUUGAUCUCCCUCUAGCCUAGAUUUUGAAGGAUUAAUCCCUUUUCUUUCCUCUUUUAUGCUUCCCCACCAUUGAUGGAGCUAGAAGCUUGGAUUUGGAGCUAAGUGGAGGAUAGAUCUUGGGAUUUAAAGGAUUUAGAGCUUGAUUUGAAGCUUCUAAGAGGUAAGCAUUACACUAUCUUCCUCUAGAUUUGAGUUUUAUUGGAUUUCAUGAGUUGAAACCCUAGAUUGUGAUAUUAGGGUUUAUUUUGGGCAUUUUGAAUCUAGGGCUUUUGAAGCUAGAUUGAUUGGAUUAGAGGCUUCCAUUGGGUUGGAUUGGAUGAGCCCUAGCUUCAUUUUGGAGCUUUAGAGGAGAUUUUGCACUAGAGGUGAGUUUUCCUCACCUAUGAUUGAUUAGCUUAAUGAUUGAGCUAUUGAUGGUUCGUUUCGUUCGUGUGACGCAUGUUCUUGUACCUCUAGGAUACUAGGAGGCCAUUGGACACCCUCGUUGGAGCGCACGAGGAGUUUCGUUGCCAUCGGUGGGUUUGGCUUCGUGGAAAUAGGGCAAAAUGGCCCCUAUGCUCUUUCUACUUGUUGUAAAAUAUUUUUAGAUUCAUUUCUAUGCUAAAUGGAAUUUAUAUGAAUCUUAGAGCACUUAAAAUGCAUGCCUUGUGUAUUAUGAAAAUUUCACUAUAUAGUAGAGCUAUAUGAGUAGAAUGCAUGCAUACGGGAAAUGUGCUUGUUUUGCAAAUGAAAAAUACAUCUCUUAUGAUGAUGAUGACUUGGAAUAUGUACCUUGGAACAUAGUUGCCAUGUUUUGACAUAGAG